GUGCCAGCCGCCGCGGUAAUACAGAGGGUGCGAGCGUUAAUCGGAAUUACUGGGCGUAAAGCGCACGUAGUCGGCUUGUCAAGUCGGGUGUGAAAUCCCCGGGCUCAACCUGGGAACUGCAUCCGAAACUGACUUGCUAGAGUAUGGGAGAGGGAGGCGGAAUUUCUGGUGUAGCAGUGAAAUGCGUAGAUAUCAGAAGGAACAUCAGUGGCGAAGGCGGCCUCCUGGACCAAUACUGACGAUCAGGUGCGAAAGCGUGGGGAGCAAACAGGAUUAGAUACCCUGGUAGUCCACGCCCUAAACGAUGACAACUGGAUGUCGGGAGGGUUUGCCUUCCGGUGUCGUAGCUAACGCGUUAAGAUGUCCGCCUGGGAAGUACGGCCGCAAGGUUGAA
Molecule: ribosomal RNA, 394 nt
Filed under: uncultured bacterium
Lineage: Bacteria
Description: bacterial SSU rRNA
Rfam family: Bacterial small subunit ribosomal RNA
Source: RNAcentral